RNAcentral lists this ribosomal RNA (460 nucleotides) under uncultured bacterium. RNAcentral describes it as "partial 16S ribosomal RNA". It matches the Rfam family "Bacterial small subunit ribosomal RNA", at positions 338 to 795 of the family's 1533-position model. The record is from RNAcentral.
CCUACGGGAGGCAGCAGUGAGGAAUAUUGGUCAAUGGACGAGAGUCUGAACCAGCCAAGUAGCGUGAAGGAUGACUGCCCUAUGGGUUGUAAACCUCUUUUAUAUGGGAAUAAAAUGUUCCACGUGUGGGAUUUUGUAUGUACCAUAUGAAUAAGGAUCGGCUAACUCCGUGCCAGCAGCCGCGGUAAUACGGAGGAUCCGAGCGUUAUCCGGAUUUAUUGGGUUUAAAGGGAGCGUAGGUGGAUUGUUAAGUCAGUUGUGAAAGUUUGCGGCUCAACCGUAAAAUUGCAGUUGAAACUGGCAGUCUUGAGUACAGUAGAGGUGGGCGGAAUGCGUGGUGUAGCGGUGAAAUGCUUAGAUAUCACGAAGAACUCCGAUUGCGAAGGCAGUUCACUGGACUGCAACUGACACUGAGGCUCGAAAGUGUGGGUAUCAAACAGGAUUAGAUACCCUUGUAGUC